RNAcentral lists this transfer RNA (71 nucleotides) under Bos taurus (domestic cattle). It matches the Rfam family "tRNA". Rfam says of the family: Transfer RNA (tRNA) molecules are approximately 80 nucleotides in length. RNAcentral also lists the same sequence under 1 other name. Lineage: Eukaryota; Metazoa; Chordata; Mammalia; Artiodactyla; Bovidae. The record is from Rfam by way of RNAcentral.
GCCUAGUGGUUCAGAUGGUAAAGUGUCUGUCUGCAAUGCAGGAGACCCGGGUUCGAUCCCUGGGUUGGGCA